RNAcentral lists this ribosomal RNA (245 nucleotides) under uncultured archaeon. RNAcentral's name for it is "partial 16S ribosomal RNA". It matches the Rfam family "Archaeal small subunit ribosomal RNA", at positions 474 to 717 of the family's 1478-position model. The record is from RNAcentral.
UCCCGGCAGUCCAAGUCGCAGCCAACAUUAUUGGGUCUAAAACAUCCGUAGCUUGUUUAUUAAGUUCUUUGUGAAAUCCGGCAUCUUAAGUGUCGGGCGAGCAGAGAAUACUGAUAAGCUUGGGAUCGGAAGAUGCAAGGAGUACACUAAAGGUAGUGGUAAAAUACGUUAAUCUUUGGUGGACUAACAAUUGGCGAAGGCACCUUGCAAGUACGAAUCUGACAGUGAGGGAUGAAGGCCAGGGG